This 764-nucleotide long non-coding RNA is filed under the name Pongo abelii (Sumatran orangutan). Its description in RNAcentral is "lincRNA". The record is from RNAcentral. Lineage: Eukaryota; Metazoa; Chordata; Mammalia; Primates; Hominidae.
CAAUCAUGUUACUUCAAACGUAACUUCAAACGUAAAGUAGGCUCAGAUUUAUUUUUUCCUAACAAACUCGUUCUAGUCCACUCAAGAUUCUAUCCAAAAAGCAGUAUUUAGCACUUUUCAGGCUAAUUCCAAACAAACGAAGAUUAACAGAUCAUCAGUUUAGCUUCACACAUGAAAUUGAAAAAUGAAUUGCUGGUCAAAAUGCUAGUAACAAAAAUGUGAAAUUUAUAUGUGUUCCUUUUUCCUAAAUAUUGAAAAAAUAUCAACUAAUCAUCAGGUUUGCCAAAACAAAAAAAAUUUGAAAUAUAAUUCCUAGUUAAUUGGUUUACCAUUCUUUAUUACUUCUCUUUGAAUUCAGUAACUUAUCAAUGAUUAAAAGUGUGCUUCAACAAGUUAAUUCUUUAAGUUCAAAUAACUGGAAACCAUUUUCUCAAUGGUGCAGCAUUUCUUAAUGUCAGUUCAAGAUGUUUGGAGACAUAUUGCUGAUUUUAGAAGCUGAUGUGUGCUGAUUUAUGAAGGAAUUGUUUAGCUUGUACUCUGGGCUCUGAUCAAGGGAGAUACACUCUCAGAUACAGCCUGGCAUUUAAGGGUACCUCUUUCGUAGCUGGUUAUCUGCUUCCUGAGUUCAGUUGUAAUAGCUUGCAAGCUUCUCCCAUCCCAUAUGACUGGAUUCUGAUUUCUUAUUUUCUGAUAGCAGGGUAAACUUUGUUCUCCCUUAUUACUAAAUGUUGACUUGACAAAUAAAUAGACCUCCUGCAUUUUAA